CACCAACCUGUGUUCCAUUUAACAUUUCACACUUCUGUCUUUCAGACUCCAAAACACCAAAUGAAGGGACUGACUUGGGAGUAAUAUUUCACUGAGUAGCCUGAAGACUGUAAUCAACCUCUUAGGUUAAACUACAAAACACGCCUUCACACAGCAAAUGACUGAAGCUUUUAUAUGACCCAGCAGUGAACAAGCACAAUGGGACAGGUGUCUCACACUCAAGGGGACGCCACCCAUCGGGAAUCUGCAAUGGGUCAGAUGACUUCUUCCCUCUGAAGUCAGCUUAAGGAAUAGUUCUAAGACAUGCACGACGACAACAAAACGUUAUAAAUGAGUUCAGGGACGAGUUUGUUUGUGAUGCUUGGAAAACCCGAGAACCCAGAGAGGAGCAGUCAGCAGUGCCGAGACUGGCAAGGAGGUGAAACUGAUCUCAGCAGGUGGAGAGGCUCGGUAUACUCCAGAAAAAAGAGUGUGCGUAUCCUACAAAGCCAACCCUCUCUCUGCUACUUCCUCCCCAUGUGUGCCUAGGCUGGAACUCAGGGUCUUGCACAUGGUAGGCAAGUGCCCUCCUCUGAGAUAUUUAACACUUUAGUGGAACCCCAGUUCAAAUGUCAACAGUUCUUCUGCAGUAAGAUAACCAACUCAAGGUUCUAGCCUACAGCAGCUUUGAGGCUGCAAUUGCUUGAGUAGAGCACACAGCCACAAUUACAAGGAUGUGAGGAAUCAAGGUUCUCCCAUUUAAUAAGAGAUAAAACAGAAAAGCUAAGAAAAUGAAACACGGUAUAAAAUCUAAAUAGAAACAAUAAAUGAAUCACAAUUU
This 820-nucleotide long non-coding RNA is filed under the name Rattus norvegicus (Norway rat). RNAcentral describes it as "long non-coding RNA NONRATT025345". The record is from RNAcentral. Lineage: Eukaryota; Metazoa; Chordata; Mammalia; Rodentia; Muridae.